UACGUAGGGGGCAAGCGUUAUCCGGAUUUACUGGGUGUAAAGAGAGCGUAGACGGCGGUGCAAGCCAGAUGUGAAAGCCCGGGGCUCAACCCCGGGACUGCAUUUGGAACUGUGCUGCUAGAGUGUCGGAGAGGCAGGCGGAAUUCCUAGUGUAGCGGUGAAAUGCGUAGAUAUUAGGAGGAACACCAGUGGCGAAGGCGGCCUGCUGGACGAUGACUGACGUUGAGGCUCGAAAGCGUGGGGAGCAAACAGG
This 253-nucleotide ribosomal RNA is filed under the name uncultured bacterium. RNAcentral describes it as "partial 16S ribosomal RNA". It matches the Rfam family "Bacterial small subunit ribosomal RNA", at positions 524 to 776 of the family's 1533-position model. The record is from RNAcentral.